UCGAGAAUCUUUCACAAUGGGCGAAAGCCUGAUGGAGCGACGCCGCGUGGGGGAUGAAGGGCUUCGGCCUGUAAACCCCUGUCAUUUGCGACCAAACCGCGCAACCCAACACGUUGCGCGCUGAUGGUAGCAAAAGAGGAAGGGACGGCUAACUCUGUGCCAGCAGCCGCGGUAAGACAGAGGUCCCAAGCGUUGUUCGGAUUCACUGGGCGUAAAGGGUGCGUAGGCGGUCGGAUAAGUCGGUUGUGA
This 249-nucleotide ribosomal RNA is filed under the name uncultured bacterium. Its description in RNAcentral is "partial 16S ribosomal RNA". It matches the Rfam family "Bacterial small subunit ribosomal RNA", at positions 355 to 597 of the family's 1533-position model. The record is from RNAcentral.